RNAcentral lists this ribosomal RNA (479 nucleotides) under uncultured Bacteroidota bacterium. RNAcentral describes it as "bacterial SSU rRNA". The record is from RNAcentral. Lineage: Bacteria; Pseudomonadati; Bacteroidota.
GAGUUUGAUCAUGGCUCAGGAUGAACGCUAGCGGCAGGCUUAAUACAUGCAAGUCGAGGGGCAGCAGCUUUAUAGCAAUAUAGAGGCUGGCGACCGGCAAACGGGUGCGGAACACGUACACAACCUUCCUUGAAUAGGGGGAUAGCCCAUAGAAAUGUGGAUUAAUACCCCGUAAUAUAGCGGUGUGGCAUCACACUGUUAUUAUAGUUUCGGCGAUUCGAGAUGGGUGUGCGGCUGAUUAGGUAGUUGGCGGGGUAAAGGCCCACCAAGCCUUCGAUCAGUAGCUGAUGUGAGAGCAUGAUCAGCCACACGGGCACUGAGACACGGGCCCGACUCCUACGGGAGGCAGCAGUAAGGAAUAUUGGUCAAUGGACGCAAGUCUGAACCAGCCAUGCCGCGUGAAGGAUGAAGGUCCUCUGGAUUGUAAACUUCUUUUAUAGGGGGCGAAAAAAGGUCUUCUAGAUCACUGACAKACCCCU